Molecule: RNA transcript, 713 nt
Organism: Gossypium raimondii (Peruvian cotton)
Lineage: Eukaryota; Viridiplantae; Streptophyta; Magnoliopsida; Malvales; Malvaceae
Gene name: transcription factor bHLH147
Exons: 1
Source: RefSeq, a predicted model, not a curated record
UGUAAUUCACCGAAUCGUACAGAUUUGAUCCGGUGUGAUGGCGUCCACAGUAAUGAAUCCAUCGACAAACAUGAAUUCUGAUCGAAGGAAGAUGAUGAUGAAGAAGAAGAAACCGAUGAUCAAAGAGAAUCAGAUCAACCAGAGCCACACCAGAUGGAAAUCAGAGACACAGCAGCAGAUCUUUUCCUCGAAACUCGUUGAAGCUUUGAGUCAUCUCAGUCUGGAAAACGGUUCCACUCCUUCUCUUUCGGCUCCACGCGGUGGUCGAGCUGUACGUGAAGCUACUGAUAAAGCUUUGGCCAUCACGGCUAAAGGAAAAACCAGGUGGAGUCGAGCCAUUUUAACGGGCCGGCUUAAGCUGAAGUUUCGAAAAAGAGGAUCUGCCGCUGAUGUGGCGGCCAUCACCGGGAUAGCCGGUCGAAGAAACCGAGAGUUAGCAUUUCGAAAUUGAAAGCGAGAAGUACACCGAAUGUUCUAAGGAAAGUGAAAGUUCUUGGACGAUUAGUUCUCGGUUGCCGAAAGGAACCAUUACCAGUUAUUCUUGAAAAAGCUACUGAUUACAUAGCAACACUUGAGAUGCAAGUUCGAGCCAUGACCACUCUCGCCGAGUUGCUAUCUGGUUCCGCCGCCAGCUCUAGCUCAGUCCCUCCGCCUCAUUCGCCGCCGCCGACUAGGCAGUGACACUUUUCUUUGUUAUAAUUUCCAAGUGUCAC